GGGGGUGCCAGGUAUCGAUAGGAAGUAAUCUUAAAAUAGGCAAGUCAAGCGGAAUCUUGUUAACUUCCAUAAAAUAAUUGCCAACUUAAAAGUUGCUCCUGUUUACGUUUAAGUAAGCAGCGCCUGCUUAAUUGAUUCUCGAUAGAUUAGGCAGGUGUCAUUAAUCGAGAUAGACAGAGCUUGCGUUAGGCAGUUCUGUUUGAAAUUUACUAACUAGAGAUAAUGGGAUUUUGCCUUUUUUAGACCUAUUAUCUCGAAUCUCCAAAAAAAAGCUAAACUUGUAGAAUACUUUGAGAGAGCUUUCUAGACGCGGGUUCGAUCCCGCCACCUCCACCA
Molecule: transfer-messenger RNA, 336 nt
Filed under: Candidatus Portnoybacteria bacterium CG03_land_8_20_14_0_80_41_10
Lineage: Bacteria; Candidatus Portnoyibacteriota
Also listed under: 1 other name
Rfam family: transfer-messenger RNA
About the family: Bacterial tmRNA, also known as 10Sa RNA or SsrA, is named for its dual tRNA and mRNA-like properties. Its role is to liberate the mRNA from a stalled ribosome.
Source: RNAcentral